CUGAUAGCUUUAUGGAGCCAACGUAUAUUUGUAAACAAUGAUUUAAUGAGGGACAUUUAUUUGCGACAGUUUUCUCCUUUUAUUUAAAUUUUAAUAGAUAAAAAAAUGAGAUAAAUAAUUCCAGUUAUUGGAAAUCUCUCUAGAAUAUUCUAUUUAUAACAAAUGUGACCAAAUAAAGAAUUGUCUCAAUUUGAAAGCAUUAAACGAUAUUAAUUUACAAGUGAUGUGAGCAAUUGAAAGAUACUUCUGCGUGUACACGCGUUUUUCUACCGUACUUCAAUAUAUAUAUA
Molecule: long non-coding RNA, 290 nt
Organism: Mycetomoellerius zeteki
Lineage: Eukaryota; Metazoa; Arthropoda; Insecta; Hymenoptera; Formicidae
Exons: 3
Source: RefSeq, a predicted model, not a curated record